GACGAGCCUCACAAACGUUAUUCGGAAUUACUGGGCUUAAAGGGUGCGUAGGCGGCGCGGAAAGUUGGGUGUGAAAUCCCUCGGCUCAACCGAGGAACGGCGCUCAAAACUACCGUGCUAGAGGGAGAUAGAGGAGUGCGGAACUUAGGGUGGAGCGGUGAAAUGCGUUGAUAUCCUAGGGAACACCGGUGGCGAAAGCGGCACUCUGGAUCUCUUCUGACGCUGAGGCACGAAAGCUAGGGUAGCAAACGGG
RNAcentral lists this ribosomal RNA (253 nucleotides) under uncultured bacterium. RNAcentral's name for it is "partial 16S ribosomal RNA". It matches the Rfam family "Bacterial small subunit ribosomal RNA", at positions 524 to 776 of the family's 1533-position model. The record is from RNAcentral.